Molecule: RNA transcript, 2122 nt
Organism: Nyctereutes procyonoides (raccoon dog)
Lineage: Eukaryota; Metazoa; Chordata; Mammalia; Carnivora; Canidae
Gene: RHNO1
Gene name: RAD9-HUS1-RAD1 interacting nuclear orphan 1
Exons: 4
Source: RefSeq, a predicted model, not a curated record
GGGCGGGGGGGGGGGGCGGCUCCUCCCCCACCUCGGCUAACGACCCGCUGGCCUCCGGCCGCCCGAGCGCCUCUCGGCCUGUCCGAGCUAACUGCCUCUUAAAACUAAAGGCCGCGCCGUAGUCGUACUUGGUUCACUCGGCGACCCCCUUGGCCGAGCGCCUGCUCCGUGCCAGGCCCCGCUGGGACACAGCGGCGGGGAGGUUCUUUCCUUCCUGUGCGUGCAGCCUAAUGGGAAGAGGAGAGGCCGGUUUUGAAGGCUCCAGCAAGCAAAAGGAGGGUUACAGCUGUGAGGGGAUAAACGAGAGGUCACUGAUAACGGUAUCUACAAGAUCUUGCCGUCGGCAGGUCACGGAAGGCUUUUCUGAACGGAACCUUGUUCCGAGACCUGAUGCGCUUGUGCAAGGAAGAGCGUGAACCCCGCCAAGCAAAGGGAAGAAGGCAUGGGUUGGAAUCAGAGCCUGAACCCCAACCUGACUACAACCAGCAUCAUGUGGUUACUAACUGCUCUUCAUUCACCUAUUGAUGCCUCCCAGAAAAAAACGCUGCCAACCUUCCCGGAAAGCCCAGCUGCUAUUCCAACAAGAACCACUGGAGGGCCCCAAACACCACUAUGGCUCUCCCCAACGUCCCAUCUCCCACACUAGACAGGUGUCCAGCAAGCCCAUUGACCACAGCACCAUCACUUCCUGGGUAUCACCUCAGUUUAAUAUGACGGCAGAAAGCUGCUUCCCGGUGAACCAGAAAUGUCAUCACCGAAACCAGGCAAGACCUUCAAGUCGAAAAUGUACCACCUCCAAGUUCCCACAUCUAACAUUUGAGAGUCCACCCUUGUCUUCUGGUUCAGCCACACAUAGGACCCCCUUAACCAGUGAAUGCCCCAAUCAGUCAGAGAAGCGCAUUUCUGGAAGGCUCUUAGUUCCAAUGCUCAGUCCUCAAAGCUUUAAGGAAGCAUCAGCACACAUGCUUCAAGACUUAUCGUACCUGUUCAUUCCACCUGAUAUCCAUACCCCAGAGUCCUCAUUUGUGAAGGAGGGUCCCGUUUCCCCUGGUCAGAGGGAAGGGAGCCUUCCAAGCUGCUCCUUCCACACUAGUACUCCCAAGAGCCUAGAGCCUGGGCCUGUUCUAGUUAAAGACACUCCUGAGGAGAAGUAUGGGAUCAAGGUCACGUGGAGGAGACGACGCCACUUGUUCACUUACCUCAGGGAGAGAGGGAAGCUGAACGAAAACCAGUUCCUUGUGAAAAACUCACUGGAUUUCUCAGACACCAGCAGUCUCAAGAAAUUUUCAUAAAGUUGCUAAAGUACUUUUCUGGCUCACAGGAGAGUACAUCAGGAGGAUAAAAUGGAAAUGAUACCAAUAAUAUCAAUAGAAAAAAAUAUCUUAACUAGGACCUUGGAAUCAUAAGGGAAAUCAGUUCCCAGAUUUGCUUUUUAAAAUGUCUUUUCCUAAGAAGUUUUUAGUGUCAUAAACAGCUUCAUAUUUUUCUUAUAGUAACUGUUUAAAAUUUUAAAGUAUCUUAUAGUAACUAUUUAGCAUGUAUGUAAAUAAAUGGUUGCAGAAAGGUUUUAUUUUUUUAUUUUUAUUUUUGCAGAAAGGUUUUAGAGAGCCCUGCUUCUGAUUAUUGAUCAUGCAGCAAUACUGCCUUCUCCACGAAAGGUCUUUCUUCAUUGUUGUUUUUUUUUUAAACCACUGCUCAUUAAUCCUCUAAUCACACAUUCAAACUAAUUCAUUGCACAUUUUUGAGUACCAGCUCUGUGUCAAGUUCAGCCGCAGCUUCCUUUAUGACAUGAUGGAUGGGGAAAAAUAAAAGCGGACUCUGACUCCAGUUGAGCCGCCACCUCUGCAACCUUGCCUGUCUGCUAAAAGGCCAAGAUGGGAAUCUGGAGCCCAGAUAAUGAAGCAUGUUUAGGGUCACACAGUGAGUGGAGGCUGACACACGGAGGCGAUGCUCUGCUUUCCCAGCUUGUGCCAAGUUCUGUGCCUCUUAGGCAAACACCCAAUGUGGAAACAGCUGGCCUUGGAAUGCUAUAAACACAACAUGCGAUAACUUUUGCCAGGAUGUUUUGUAGGGGUUAUAAUGAUAUGUGUAAAUUGGUGUUGAGAAAGGAAAUGGCGGCAAG